This 1145-nucleotide long non-coding RNA is filed under the name Anser brachyrhynchus (Pink-footed goose). RNAcentral describes it as "lncRNA (ENSABRG00000014578.1)". The record is from RNAcentral. Lineage: Eukaryota; Metazoa; Chordata; Aves; Anseriformes; Anatidae.
AUGGCGGCGGAGCUCGCGGCCGGCAGGGACGCGCCACGGGGGCAUGGAGAGGGGCUGAGCAGCUCCCUCCGCCCCGCGCUCCGCUCCCUCCCCGGCUCCGCACAGCUCCGCGGUCAGCCCCAGGGGAGGGGUUGGAGGCAACGGCUGGCUGGCGGGCGGCCAGGACGCAGCCGGACGCCGCCUCCCCCUCCGCGAGCUCGCCGUGACGCCACGCCACAACUCACCUUCACCGAGCCCCCGGCCGCCAUCUUGCGCAAAGAGGGAGGGGGCGGCGCCGAGCGGCCCGGGGUAGCGCCUCAGCCCCGCUCCACGCUAGAGGGCAGCACAACUUCUUUCCUCUCUCUCUCUCUCUCUCUCUCUCUUUCUUUCUUUCUCUUUUUUUUUUUUUUUUUUUUUUUUUNUUUUUUUCAGGUUGGCUCUCCACGAGUAGGUACUGUCUUCGCCUUAUCUCGGAGCAUUCCUAUAAGCAUUAAAGACAAAGCCGGAGUUCUACGCUUAGCCGGUCCCAUCAUCGUCAGGAUGUCUCCGGCACACACGUCAAACAUCGCUAUCAUCCAGUCUCCUGUCCAUAUUUCACCCAGAUCACAGAGCAUAUUCCUGGAGACGCUCUGGUUUCUUUGACUUCCCCCCAAAGUUCCUCAGUUUGUCAACAGAGGAUGUGAGAAAACAGUACCAUGAAAUCCCUGGAGCAUCCUGUAUAGCAGUGAUGAGAAGCAGAAAAUAGUAAUUGGUCUUGGGUUUCCAGAAAUGAUAAAACAAGACCAAAAAUUCCAUCUGUAACUUAUUCCUAAUUUAUACAAUUUGAUACUGAGUUGAAGAGAUUUGUUUUCAAUUAAAAAGCAAAUAAUUUAAAGACUCAUUAUGGUUUAAAUUAAGUGUGGUCUUUUCAAUAUUCGUAAAUGAUUCUGAGAACAAAGUUGAGCGUGUUUUUGAAAAAAAGUGUUUUCUUUCCGAGGUACAUAUAUAUAGAUAGUACAUGUGUUUAGCUCUCCAAGCUAAACAUAGCUUUAAGUGAGUUAAAUGCUCUAUCAUUAUAUCUUAAUAAUGACUAUUUUCAUAUUUAUGGUAUUCUUGUUGCCACAAAUCUGUACAUGUGAGAACAUUUCAACAAAACAUGUAAACUUCCAUCUUGAGAAAUAUCAGUU